RNAcentral lists this ribosomal RNA (458 nucleotides) under uncultured bacterium. Its description in RNAcentral is "bacterial SSU rRNA". It matches the Rfam family "Bacterial small subunit ribosomal RNA", at positions 328 to 803 of the family's 1533-position model. The record is from RNAcentral.
GAAUUCAACUCCUACGGGAGGCAGCAGUGGGGAAUAUUGGACAAUGGGCGCAAGCCUGAUCCAGCCAUGCCGCGUGAGUGAUGAAGGCCCUAGGGUUGUAAAGCUCUUUCACCGGUGAAGAUAAUGACGGUAACCGGAGAAGAAGCCCCGGCUAACUUCGUGCCAGCAGCCGCGGUAAUACGAAUGGGGCUAGCGUUGUUCGGAUUUACUGGGCGUAAAGCGCACGUAGGCGGACUAAUAAGUCAGGGGCGAAAUCCCGGGGCUCAACCCCGGAACUGCCUUUGAUACUGUUAGUCUUGAGUAUGGAAGAGGUGAGUGGAAUUCCGAGUGUAGAGGUGAAAUUCGUAGAUAUUCGGAGGAACACCAGUGGCGAAGGCGGCUCGCUGGUCCAUUACUGACGCUGAGGUGCGAAAGCGUGGGAAGCAAACAGGAUUAGAUACCCUAGUAGUCCAGGCGUU